GGGCCUAUAGCUCAAUGGCAGAGCACGCGGCUCAUAACCGCUUGGUUCUAGGUUCGAAUCCUAGUAGGCCCA
This 72-nucleotide transfer RNA is filed under the name Chloroflexota bacterium. Its description in RNAcentral is "Chloroflexi bacterium tRNA-Ile". It matches the Rfam family "tRNA". From Rfam's summary of the family: Transfer RNA (tRNA) molecules are approximately 80 nucleotides in length. Their secondary structure includes four short double-helical elements and three loops (D, anti-codon, and T loops). The record is from RNAcentral. Lineage: Bacteria; Bacillati; Chloroflexota. RNAcentral also lists the same sequence under 1 other name.